This 22-nucleotide microRNA is filed under the name Cavia porcellus (domestic guinea pig). RNAcentral describes it as "cpo-miR-95-3p". Its record names the gene cpo-miR-95-3p. The record is from miRBase by way of RNAcentral. Lineage: Eukaryota; Metazoa; Chordata; Mammalia; Rodentia; Caviidae.
UUCAAUGGGUAUUUACUGAGCC